GUCGAGAAUCUUCCGCAAUGCGCGCAAGCGUGACGGAGCAACGCCGCGUGGGUGACGAAGGCCUUCGGGUUGUAAAGCCCUGUCAGUUGUCAGGAAAUGCAGGCGGUGAACAACUGUCCUGCUUGACCAGGCAGCAAAGGAAGCACCGGCUAAAUACGUGCCAGCAGCCGCGGUAAUACGUAUGGUGCAAACGUUGUUCGGAAUCACUGGGCCUAAAGAGCGCGUAGGCGGUUUGGCAAGUCAGGUGUGAAAUCCCUCGGCUCAACCGAGGAACUGCACCUGAAACUGCCUCACUAGAGUGCAGGAGGGGAGAGUGGAAUUCCUGGUGGAGCGGUGAAAUGCGUAGAUAUCAGGAGGAACGCCGGUGGCGAAAGCGACUCUCUGGCCUGCUACUGACGCUGAGGCGCGAAAGCUAGGGGAGCAAACGGGAUUAGAAACCCCAGUAGUCC
This 449-nucleotide ribosomal RNA is filed under the name uncultured bacterium. RNAcentral describes it as "bacterial SSU rRNA". It matches the Rfam family "Bacterial small subunit ribosomal RNA", at positions 354 to 796 of the family's 1533-position model. The record is from RNAcentral.